Long non-coding RNA from Nothoprocta perdicaria, 266 nucleotides. RefSeq lists it as uncharacterized. The record is from RefSeq and is a predicted model, not a curated record. NCBI's taxonomy places the organism in Eukaryota, Metazoa, Chordata, Aves, Tinamiformes, Tinamidae. The transcript has 4 exons.
AGCCUUGUUAUUGGCCUCAAUGGUCAGAAGGGCAGUGGACCACACUGCAAAGCUUUGAUGGAGACUGGACCAGCUCYCAGACCGUGGAAACACCUUUUCCAGCUUCACAAUGAGUCAUUACAGUAACUCAAAUGGACAACAAGCUUUAUAGGUGUCCCAGGCCUGCUACGCUGUGUGCACUAGAAGAUCUUACCAGUAACCAGCAUAUGUGAUGAAAGCUGCGAGAGAGUUAAGGCAGUUCUUGCAUUUAGCUGACAGCGUAAUAC